AAGUCCCUUCUGCAGAGGCAGGAAGAUCUUCGGGGUCUUCGGGUCACCUCUCACACCUGUGGGCACUCUCUUCCCAGGGAUGGACAUAUUUACUCUUGGACUCUGAACUGCCACUGCCCACGUCGGGGAGCCUGUACCCUUAUGUAGAAAUUAUCCUUGCAGACUCCUUCCCACAUCCUUAGAGAUAGGCAGCCACAGGACUGUGCCUAGAAGACUCAAGCGGCAGCCAUGCCAGAGAAGAAAUGAUGAACAGGUAACCCAGGGCUCACUCAUCUUCUUGAAAAAAAAAGUGUUGCUUCAGUCCAGAAGGCAACAGAAAACCCAGCACUGAGGGGAGCUCAGGCAGAGGAAGGAGGAAUGGUAAGAAAACAACUGUCUCUGUAUCCCUCCCUCUUCCCAUCCCUCCCAGCCCCCACACGCUGCUCCCAACCAAGGAGAGGAAAAGAAAAAUCUUCAGUCCGUUAGGAGACUGAGAUUGCCAUCCCGUAGGCCAGACUGAUGUCAUGGCGGAUGUUCAGCCACAACCCAUGUGGCCCACAAGCCCUCUCAGGCCUCCCUCCUCCCUUCUUCCUCUUCCACCUGCAGGUUUACCAUCCAUCCAUCCACCCAUCCAUCGAUCCAUCCAAGGCUGAAUACAGAGCCUGUGUCAAUCCACAUCCACCCACUCAUGUGUUCAGGGCCACACCUCCCGUGCCCACAGCUUCUUGCUCAUGUAAUCUCCCAUUUUUAAAGAUAAGCUGCUUCUUUCAAUAGGACAGGAUUGUGCUGGCAGGGUUGGUGAUUGUGUUUUGGUUCUAAGGAGAAAGAAACUCGGAGAGAUGGAUAUUACACUGUUAUUGUCCCUGAUCUCCCAAACAUUCCUAUGAGGUGGACAUUUUUAUUCUCAGUUUACACAUGGAAGGACCAAGGCUCUAAGGUGUAUAUUGAAGACAGGGUUCAUUCUCCUACGAAGGGAGGCAGAGAAGGAAUAGAGCGCCCUCGUAGUUACAGAUGUCAAGUGACAGACUGGACGUGCUAGGACAUGCAGCACUCGCAGCGGCAGACAGACUGAGCUCCAGGCCAGCUUGAUCUACAUAUCAUGUCUAGCUCAGGCUGACUUCAAACCUGCUAUGCAAAGGGUUAUAAAGGGCGGCCUGGACCUUCUGACCGCCCUGACUUCACCUCCCAAGCGCUGGGAUUACAGCUUGGGGUCAAGCAAGAGCCCAAAGUUCCAGGACAACUAGGAACUGGAUGGCUGAUCUCCCCUGCUUAUUGAAAGCAAGGCGAUCAUGACAUAGUAAAGGCUAGACUCUCAGCAGCGCUGACCACUGGACUCGAGGCACUCAGUCCUAACCUGGCUAUGUCUUCCCUUGGCUCACAACCACGUGCUUCCCAACCAGCCCUUUCCCAAAGGCAGGAUGCUAAUAAGCCAGGCCCAGGGAGAAGCAAAAGCAUCCUGGGUUUCUAUGACAACUGCCACCUGUAUGCGACCUCUUGUGGCCUUCUCUUAAGUCCCUUAGGCCUAGCCCAGGUAUCAAUCCACUCACUGCCCUUUUCUCUGUCCCCAGUCCAAUCAUGGUAGUCUCUGCUCUCAACCUUCUUCUGGUCUGGGAAUUUCAGGUGCCCAGAGCCAUAGGCCUGUCUCAAAUGCAUCAUCCUCAACUUCCUAGUGUGGCAGGCAGUAAUGAAGACCAAACACAACCGCAGCCAACAACUACAGCAUCUGGCUGGUCCAGUAAGUAUUCUGCCUCCAACAGGACACAUUCCCAUGUGCCCCUCCUCAGACACCCCCUCCCCCCAUCUUCUUCAUUGCCUUCUCCCCCCAGGGGUCUUCUGGCCUCACCUCUAUCCUAUCUCAGAGGUUACUGCUAGAGUUGAGCCCAGCCUACCUCCUGGCCUCCCCAUUCCUCCAUCCAAAGCACACUAGAGGAAGCAGUGAUGGUAACUACUGUAACCCAGCUACCGAACUGCUGGCCAGAUGCCAGGACUAUCUAUGCUCAUUGCCCACAUCAGCCUGACCAGGCCCGUGCUCCAUCAACAGAAGACUGAGCUCAGACGGGCAAUGAGAUAAGACCGUGGAGCUUCAAGUGGCAGAGCAAGGAUCUGAACAAAGGUCGCUGUCCAGAUACCUUGGCACCUCGCUCACCCUGACUGGCUUAAAGGUCAAGGAGGUCUGCCCCACACCCAAGCCUGAGUUCCUGUGGGAGGAGGGGCAGUGUAGCCAGACUAGAAUGAAGAUCUCACUUUCCUUCGCUCCUGGCUCCAAGAACACCUUGACAACAGAGCCAGGGCCAGGCUGCUGGGAAGGGAGUCCUCCGCUUGCCUGGAACUUUGUACUGGCCAGGGAGCAGCAGAUAGUACACAGGACAGCCCGAGAGGCCAGUGUCCUCGGGAGAUAAAGGGAGUGUCCUCCCUCUCCUCGCUGUGCUAGCAAAAGCCACAAUGAACCCUCCUCUCCUCCUAAUCCUCAAAGCAGGAGGAAGCACAAAGGCCAACCCUCUCCAAAACAGGAACUGGCUGGAAAUGACCAAGGUGAGAGAGAAAAGAGGAUAGAUUCACAGUGCCAGUAGGAAACCGGAGAACCAGAGGUAACCCCCACCCCACUCCACUUGUAAAGGUCUAGACUGGCCUUCCCGGCCACCACGCCCCAUUCCAGAUUCCCCCAGCCAGACCUAUAAAGCCGGAUGCUCAGAGCCAACCGAGGACAGCAGGACUCCACUCUGACUUACCAGGGUCCUCACCAUCUUCCUCACAUCGCCUUUGGCUCCUGGACCUGGAAAAAGGCAGCCGCCCCAGAGUCCCCACUACUGCCUAGGCAGGAGCUGCCGUUGCUCCCACUGCCGCCAGCUUUCCUCCCAGGG
Long non-coding RNA from Mus musculus (house mouse), 2840 nucleotides. RefSeq annotates it as predicted gene, 31460. The record is from RefSeq and is a predicted model, not a curated record. The transcript is spliced from 6 exons. Lineage: Eukaryota; Metazoa; Chordata; Mammalia; Rodentia; Muridae.